Molecule: ribosomal RNA, 643 nt
Filed under: uncultured bacterium
Lineage: Bacteria
Description: bacterial SSU rRNA
Rfam family: Bacterial small subunit ribosomal RNA
Source: RNAcentral
CGCGGCCUAUCAGCUUGUUGGUGAGGUAAUGGCUCACCAAGGCGUCGACGGGUAGCCGGCCUGAGAGGGUGACCGGCCACACUGGGACUGAGACACGGCCCAGACUCCUACGGGAGGCAGCAGUGGGGAAUAUUGCACAAUGGGCGGAAGCCUGAUGCAGCAACGCCGCGUGAGGGAUGACGGCCUUCGGGUUGUAAACCUCUUUUAGCAGGGAAGAAGCGAAAGUGACGGUACCUGCAGAAAAAGCGCCGGCUAACUACGUGCCAGCAGCCGCGGUAAUACGUAGGGCGCAAGCGUUAUCCGGAAUUAUUGGGCGUAAAGAGCUCGUAGGCGGUUUGUCGCGUCUGCUGUGAAAACCCGAGGCUCAACCUCGGGCCUGCAGUGGGUACGGGCAGACUAGAGUGCGGUAGGGGAGAUUGGAAUUCCUGGUGUAGCGGUGGAAUGCGCAGAUAUCAGGAGGAACACCGAUGGCGAAGGCAGAUCUCUGGGCCGUAACUGACGCUGAGGAGCGAAAGGGUGGGGAGCAAACAGGCUUAGAUACCCUGGUAGUCCACCCCGUAAACGUUGGGAACUAGUUGUGGGGUCCAUUCCACGGAUUCCGUGACGCAGCUAACGCAUUAAGUUCCCCGCCUGGGGAGUACGG